UACAGGGUCAGUAAUAAAUGUCCUCCAGGUUAUGGAGCUCAUCGAGCCAAUGGCUCCAUCUGCAUUUGUCUGAAACAAACACAGUCAUUGGAGCAGGAAGUAGCAUGUAGGCUUCUUUCUGAGGGGCUGCUGGCUGAAUAAUUGAGAAGUGGAAUCAUCUUGAGAGGAAGACCAACUUUCAGACUCACAGAAUGUGAACAUCACUAGCAUUUGUUGCUCGUCCCCAGUUGCCUUAGAAAUUGUAUGGUCGACCAUUGUGGUGGUGAAGGUAUGCUGUUACAGAGUUCAAGGUGUUCAAUGUGACUGGUACAAGUUCGGAAAAUGGUGGACUACUUUUCGCCUGCCUGGCAAUGUUGAAGAAGCUCUGCACCAUCCAGGAGAAGGAAGCACAUUUGAUCGAUGAUGCUGUCAGACCUGCUGAGCUUUUGCAGCAACUUCUGCUUUUGUUCCUGAUUUACAACAUCUGCAGCUCUUUUGAUUUUUAUGGAAAAUCGGCUUUCCAUUUACAGGCAGAGACCUGGAGGUGAUGCGUAGACAGGAUGUACUCACUCACCAGGACCAGUGGGGAGGUCAUGACAACAGGCCAUGCCAACCUGGUCCAAGAUCAGUGAGUCCCAGUCACCUGGACGAAUGCACCAUAAUGCAGGAAGAUGACUUUCUCCACCAUCUUCUCUCCCUCUAUUUCUGUUACCAUACACACCUCCUAUCAAGCCAGGCUCCUCAGCUCUUGCUAUUGCCUGCUACAUCUUCCCCCGUUCCUGUAACCCAAACCAAACCUCUGUGAGAUAUUGUAUUAUCAUUUUCUUUAGCAACUCACUCACAAGCUGGGUCUAGGCCCGAAACGUCAGCUUUUGUGCUCCUGAGAUGCUGCUUGGCCUGCUGUGUUCAUCCAGCUUCACACUUUGUUAUCUAUCACUCACAAACACUCUAUGUUUACUAUGCCAUGUUUCCAUUUACUCAGUCAUAAGACUCUGUCUUUAUAGUACAGUUUCUAAGCUAAAUUAGACAUCCCUUCCAACCCAUUCCUGUUUUUUAACACCUUUCAAUUCUUAUUGGCCCCAUGCUGAAGCAGUGUUUAGAUAUGUUUCUGUAUCAAAGGCUGCCCCUGAAUAAGUGUUAAUACCAUAACCUACUCAGAACAUGCAAUCCCCACCAUCAUAUCUCCAUGACCCACUCGAAACUAUGGAAAGAUUAUUAUAUUAAUUAGACCUUAGCAACUAUUUUUUGGGACCUGAAUAGAUUCCAGAACAUCAACAGUUUCCAUCACUAGGAUGUACAUUUCGAUACAUAUUAAAUAGGGCAGCUGUCCCCUUUAAACAACUUACUAUCAAAACAGCACUUCUGUGAAACUGCAUGAAUAAAUGUGCAGAAACUAUCAAAACUGGCAAUAGUAAAUAAAAUUUCACACCCCAGCUAUGGGAGAUCACUUAAUAUUCUCUCUACUUUUCUUCAGUACACAAUAAUUUCUGAUGUAUUUAGAUCACAUAGGUCUAGUAUUUUUACUAACAUUACUAACUUUAAAAACAAAAAGACUAACACCUCUUAAUUAUACAAGCUCAGACUGGAUUGACAUUCUAAUCCCAUUAGGAGUACUAACCAGCAUUUAGCAAGUGCUUAAACUAUUUCCUAUUUCCCCAGGGCAGAUGUCACGCAAACUUUUGUGUACAAUAGAUACAAUUAUGUGACAACAUAAUGCUAAAAUGUUAAUGUAUGUAAAGAUUAUGUUUAAAAGAAGCUGCUGUAAAACUGUACUUUGGAUUCCAUUGCCACCUCGAACUGUGCCACUGUGGAUG
Long non-coding RNA from Stegostoma tigrinum, 1793 nucleotides. RefSeq lists it as uncharacterized. Lineage: Eukaryota; Metazoa; Chordata; Chondrichthyes; Orectolobiformes; Stegostomatidae. The record is from RefSeq and is a predicted model, not a curated record. The transcript is spliced from 3 exons.